CUGGUUACACGUGUGGCACCUGAUGAAAGAUCGGGCAUUGUUGUACCGUGGAGGGGUUUGGUAGUUCCCACCACCCGGACGCAGUGCUGGGGUGGGGUUAAUGGUGGGAGGUGGGUUAGCAGCUCCCAAGAUGGACCGUGCCUGUGCUCGCUGUGCCCUCCUGGCAUCUUGGUACUCGUCUGCCCACCUGGCGGCGUCAGUUAAGAUGCGCGGUUUCUGA
Molecule: non-coding RNA, 220 nt
Organism: Pelobates cultripes (western spadefoot toad)
Lineage: Eukaryota; Metazoa; Chordata; Amphibia; Anura; Pelobatidae
Source: the annotation of a GenBank genome assembly